Molecule: ribosomal RNA, 253 nt
Filed under: uncultured bacterium
Lineage: Bacteria
Description: partial 16S ribosomal RNA
Rfam family: Bacterial small subunit ribosomal RNA
Source: RNAcentral
UCCGGAGGGGGCUAGCGUUGUUCGGAAUUACUGGGCGUAAAGGGCGCGUAGGCGGGUGGACAAGUCUCUCGUGAAAGCCCACGGCUCAACCGUGGAAUUGCGGGAGAUACUGUCUGUCUUGAGUCCGGGAGAGGAGGGUGGAAUUCCCAGUGUAGCGGGGAAAUGCGUAGAUAUUGGGAGGAACACCGGUGGCGAAGGCGGCUCUCUGGACCGGUACUGACGCUGAGGCGCGAAAGCUAGGGGAGCAAACGGG